Molecule: ribosomal RNA, 497 nt
Filed under: uncultured bacterium
Lineage: Bacteria
Description: partial 16S ribosomal RNA
Rfam family: Bacterial small subunit ribosomal RNA
Source: RNAcentral
GACGAACGCUGGCGGCGUGCCUAAUACAUGCAAGUUGAGCGCUGAAGGUUGGUACUUGUACCGACUGGAUGAGCAGCGAACGGGUGAGUAACGCGUGGGUAAUCUGCCUUUGAGCGGGGGACAACAUUUGGAAACGAAUGCUAAUACCGCAUAAAAACUUUAAACACAAGUUUUAAGUUUGAAAGAUGCAAUUGCAUCACUCAAAGAUGAUCCCGCGUUGUAUUAGCUAGUUGGUGAGGUAAAGGCUCACCAAGGCGAUGAUACAUAGCCGACCUGAGAGGGGGAUCGGCCACAUUGGGACUGAGACACGGCCCAAACUCCUACGGGAGGCAGCAGUAGGGAAUCUUCGGCAAUGGACGAAAGUCUGACCGAGCAACGCCGCGUGAGGGAAGAAGGUUUUCGGAUCGUAAAACUCUGUUGGUAGAGAAGAACGUUGGUGAGAGUGGAAAGCUCAUCAAGUGACGGUAACUACCCAGAAAGGGACGGCUAACUACGUG